RNAcentral lists this transfer RNA (67 nucleotides) under Lissodema cursor. RNAcentral's name for it is "tRNA-Arg". Lineage: Eukaryota; Metazoa; Arthropoda; Insecta; Coleoptera; Salpingidae. The record is from RNAcentral.
UAAUAAGAAGCAAAUCACUAUGCGUUUAGUUUCGACCUAAAAAUACGAUAAUUUAUAUCCUUAUUUU